AGCCUACGGGGCGCAGCAGUGGGGAAUAUUGCACAAUGGGGGAAACCCUGAUGCAGCGACGCCGCGUGAGUGAGGAAGUAUUUCGGUAUGUAAAGCCCUAUCAGCAGGGAAGAAAAUGACGGUACCUGACUAAGAAGCCCCGGCUAACUACGUGCCAGCAGCCGCGGUAAUACGUAGGGGGCAAGCGUUAUCCGGAUUUACUGGGUGUAAAGGGUGCGUAGGCGGACUGUCAAGUCAGCGGUAAAAUACGGGGGCUCAACCUCAGCCCGCCG
This 272-nucleotide ribosomal RNA is filed under the name uncultured bacterium. RNAcentral's name for it is "partial 16S ribosomal RNA". It matches the Rfam family "Bacterial small subunit ribosomal RNA", at positions 335 to 626 of the family's 1533-position model. The record is from RNAcentral.